GUCAAAUCAUCAUGCCCCUUAUGUCCAGGGCUUCACGCAUGCUACAAUGGCCGGUACAGAGGGCUGCGAUGUCGUGAGGCGGAGCGAAUCUCUUAAAGCUGGUCGUAGUCCGGAUCGCAGUCUGCAACUCGGCUGCGUGAAGUCGGAAUCGCUAGUAAUCGUGAAUCAGCGAUGUCACGGUGAAUACGUUCCCGGGUCUU
RNAcentral lists this ribosomal RNA (200 nucleotides) under uncultured organism. RNAcentral describes it as "partial small subunit ribosomal RNA". It matches the Rfam family "Bacterial small subunit ribosomal RNA", at positions 1184 to 1382 of the family's 1533-position model. The record is from RNAcentral.